RNA transcript from Octodon degus (degu), 2065 nucleotides. It is a transcript of the gene named RAB, member of RAS oncogene family like 3, with no coding region annotated. NCBI's taxonomy places the organism in Eukaryota, Metazoa, Chordata, Mammalia, Rodentia, Octodontidae. The record is from RefSeq and is a predicted model, not a curated record. The transcript has 9 exons.
GUAAAAUCCCGGAAUAGGUGGUAACCGGGAGGAGGCAAUGGCAAGAUGGCGUCCCUGGAUCGGGUAAAGGUACUGGUGUUGGGAGACUCAGGUGUCGGAAAAUCUUCACUAGUUCAUCUUCUUUGCCAGAAUCAAGUGCUGGGAAAUCCAUCAUGGACUGUGGGCUGCUCAGUGGAUGUCAGAGUUCAUGACUACAAAGAAGGAACCCCAGAAGAAAAGACCUAUUAUAUAGAAUUAUGGGAUGUUGGAGGCUCUGUGGGCAGUGCCAGCAGUGUGAAAAGCACAAGAACGGUGUUUUAUAACUCUGUAAAUGGUAUAAUUUUAGUCCAUGACUUAACAAAUAAAAAGUCAUCUCAAAACUUGUAUCGUUGGUCACUCGAAGUUCUCAAUCGGGACUCAAUGCCAACAGGAGUCUUGGUAAUGAAUGGGGAUUAUGAUCAGGAAAAGUUUGCUGAUAACCAAAUCCCACUGUUGGUAAUAGGAACUAAACUGGACCAGAUUCAUGAAACCAAGCGUCAUGAAGUUUUAACUAGAACUGCUUUCCUGGCUGAGGAUUUCAAUGCAGAAGAGAUUAAUUUGGAUUGCACAAAUCCACGGUACUUAGCUGCAGGAUCUUCCAACGCUGUCAAGCUCAGUAGGUUUUUUGAUAAGGUCAUAGAGAUGAGAUACUUUUUAAGAGACAGUAAUCAGAUUCCAGGCUUUCCUGAUAGGAAAAGGUUGUUGGGAGGAACAUUUAAGAAUCUUCAUUAUGACUGAAUUACACUCAUCCUUUGGAAUAAUAAGAAAGAAGACAGUGGCAGUUUUCACAGCUUUCCUCUGGCUGUCUUGAUUGCCUGAAUUAUAGUUUUGUAAGGAAAAUAUAUUUUCACUUCUGGGAAGAUGGUGGAGUGGUGAAAAACAGAGAAGGAGCCUCUCGAAGAUUUGAUGACACCACUAGAAUAUAACAUUGUGAGGACGAAAAGGAGGGAAGUGGGUCCUUCGGACCAGAAAAGAUCUAAAACGAGAAUUGAAGCCCCAUAGGGAGAAUAAAGAGAGAGACUUCAAUAAAAAAAAAGAGUUGGAAAGUGGCACUUUGUUUCUGAAUCCUGACUCACUGCAUGGGAGGGGCUGCUUGAACCUGCACACACAUGGUGACUACUGCUGAGCCUAGAGGCCCCCAAAGACAAACCCCACCAGUGAAACAGAGCAGUAGAUGCAUCAGACUGCAGUGACUCAUGAGUUAUUUGAGUUCAGAUGUCCCUCAAAAGAGGGUGAUCGCCCUGUAGCCAUUCUAGAGAAGGGCCAACUGAGCUCAAGACUCAACAGCAGCUGUGGACUGGCUCCAUCUAACGGCCCCUGUGAAGGUGAGGCAGACCCAUGUUCAAGUCAGCGGGAAGUUGGGAAGCCAAGUGCAAGCUGGUAGGAGGCACACUGACUGCUGCAAGCUGAACAAAUUGGGUUCCACCUUUACUCCGAGAAACCAGCCUCAACUUCAGUGGAACUACAGGUGUGGUCCAGGCUUCCUGCAAUUGUCUUGACCCCAUGGUAAAUCUGUAGCUGGCUUGCUAGGAUUAAUCAACGUGAAUCUGGACUCUGCCUACUUUAUCUACCAGUAACAGCAGAGAUGUACCUUGAAGUGGACUUGUUUUCCUUAUUUUUUUCUUGAUUUUGGUGUUUUCUUUUUUCUUGCUUGUUUGUUGCUUUUAUAUGAGUAUAAACAUUGUUUCUAGUUCUAUUCUUGUUUUUUCUUUCCACCUCUCUUUUCCCUCCUGUCUUCUUCGUGAGUUUCCUAAAGUUUGUAUAGUCUUUCUUUAUCAUACAGCCUUGUUUAUAGAAAUCUCUUUGUCUUUAGUUCUCUAUUUUUUUUCACGUAACUCUUCUUAAAUUUAAAUCACCAUAUUGAGGACUAUUUACUGUAUAAAAUUUUCUGGUGUGCUUUAGAUUGUGUUAUAUAACCACAAUUCUAGUUCAUGUGGUUAAAGGUGGCAAAUUUAUGGUUACUAGUUUGUCACAUUUUAGGCUCUGUUUGAUGCUGUUAUUAUUAUUGAUUGUAGUACUUUAGCCAAGGUGACCUAACUGUUCUGAA